AGUACAGAUGAGUUUUCACCAUGUUGGCCAGGCUGGUCUCGAACUCCUGGCCUCAAGUGAUCCACCCGCAUCGGCCUUCCAAAGUCCUGGGAUUACAGGCAUGAGCCACCUCACCCAGCCCUUACUGUAAUUUUUUAAAAAUAAAAAUUCAUCUAUUUCUAACUAUAUAUUCCAUUCCCCAAUAAUCCUAGGUAAGAAUUUAGUGUAUUCAAAACGUGUAGAAAUCUUAACACGGGAGCAGUGUGAAAAGAAUGGCAAGACGGAGACAGGCUGCUUCAAAAGGCCCCAGCAGAGCUGGUGACCUGCAGACAGACAAAGGUGGUGCAGCUGGGAGGCAGACCCCGGGCUCCACCUAGGAUAGAGGAUGUGUGAUGUGGCUCUGUGUGUCUCAUGGGACCACUGUAAAGACAACUGCUUACUGAUGAGACAGCCCAAGGGGCUCUCACAUCCCAACAGGGACCUGGUGCUGGUGGCUGACACAUGCACAUCAUGCCAUGAACAUGAAGUGAAGCCACACGGACAGCAGUUACAGGAGGCCCAGUUUUACCCAGAAAAGGAUUUCUGUGCACAAUGCAGCUGCAUUUUCAGAGGCAAGACCGUGAGAGAGCCAAGUGAGACUCACAGUGACAGCGGCUUCCAGAUCUGCACGUGUCACAUGAAAACGAGGUCACAGAAGUGCCGCUGUCAAGUAGUUUAAUCAUAGUCCCUACCGUGUGUACCUAAAGAAGAGAACUGUCCUUCCCUGGAUAAACCACCCACCAGGUCAAGACUCUGAUCCAGACACUCCCUGCACAUUACCAGCGUCUGUCACCGCCGGCUUUCCUUCUCAGUUCUGUGUGACACCAACACCCAGGGCCCACAGGGGACGAUUAUCAUUAACCAGUUUGUCCUUUCUUUGACCACAUAACUCUUUGUUUUAAAUGUUACUCAUGAAUAUUGAGAAAAACUGAGCCCAAUAUCUGGUGUGCGUGGUUAUUAUAACUUAAUCAAAAGCUGUCACAUUCAUUCCUGGCAGUCACUUCUGCUGAAGCUGUAACUUCCCAACAGGGAGCACAAUGUUUUUCCCUAUGGUAGUAGUUUUCAACCUUUUAAAAAGCAUUAAAAUGCCUUUUAGGCUGAGGCAGAAGAAUCACUGGAACCCAGAAGGCAAAGGUUUCAAGGGAUUCCCCUGCCUUGGCCUCCCAAGUAGCUGGGAUUACAGGCGCCUGCUACCAUGCCCAGCUAAUUUUUGCAUUUUUAGUAGAGACAGAGUUUCCCCAUGUUGGCAAGGCUGGUCUCAAACUACUAACCUCAAAUGAUCCACCCGCCUCGGCCUCCCAAAGUGGUGGGAUUACAGGCAUGAGCUAUAGCACCCGGCCACAGGUAUAGUCUUUUUUUUUCUUUUUUUUUUUUUUUCCGAGACAGA
This 1405-nucleotide non-coding RNA is filed under the name Pongo abelii (Sumatran orangutan). Lineage: Eukaryota; Metazoa; Chordata; Mammalia; Primates; Hominidae. The record is from RNAcentral.